GAUGAAGAACGUAGCGAAAUGCGAUAAGUAGUGUGAAUUGCAGAAUUCAGUGAAUCAUCGAAUCUUUGAACGCACAUUGCGCCUCCUGGUAUUCCGGAGGGCAUGCCUGUCUGAGCGUCAUUGUCAACCCUCAAGCUCAGCUUGCUGUUGGGUCCCCGUCGUUGCUUUAACGGCGGACCCGAAAGGUAAUGGCAGAGUCCGUGAGACCCUAGACGCAGCGAGCUUCUAGCACGCGUCUGGACGUUUUUCGGGCUCGGUCUUAAACUAGAUGAUAACUUCCGAUUGACCUCAGAUCAGGUAGGGAUACCCGCUGAACUUAAGCAUAUCAAUAAGCGGAGGA
Molecule: unclassified non-coding RNA, 340 nt
Filed under: soil metagenome
Description: partial contains 5.8S ribosomal RNA, internal transcribed spacer 2, and large subunit ribosomal RNA
Rfam family: 5.8S ribosomal RNA (bases 1-120)
Source: RNAcentral